Long non-coding RNA from Hibiscus syriacus, 412 nucleotides. RefSeq lists it as uncharacterized. The transcript is spliced from 2 exons. Lineage: Eukaryota; Viridiplantae; Streptophyta; Magnoliopsida; Malvales; Malvaceae. The record is from RefSeq and is a predicted model, not a curated record.
AAAGAGUCAUCUUGUGACAAUUUGAUAGAAACAAACUUUUUCCUAGAAAAGCUUUAUUAUAUCGAGUAGUAACUUUGGUAAUUGAUGCAUCACAGGGAUUCCUUGCCUUUUACAAGGGUUUUGUUCCUAAUUUUAGCCGGCUAGCAUCUUGGAAUGUGGUUAUGUUUUUGACUCUUGAGCAAGCCAAGAAAGCUUUCUGGGGGGAAAUAUAUUACGAUUGAUUUUAGUUUGUAACCAGGAAGACACACUGCCUGCUUAUUGUCCCUUGAAUUCUCAAGGAGUAAUUUUUUUUAACAAAGAACAAGGUAUGCAUUGCAUUGCCCUCUUCAUUUUCCUUAGAUAAAAGUAGUGUUAUUGUAAUUUGUAACUAUUUAUGUUAUCCAGACUUGGGGGAAUUCUUUCAAAUUUUCCC